Molecule: ribosomal RNA, 407 nt
Filed under: uncultured bacterium
Lineage: Bacteria
Description: partial 16S ribosomal RNA
Rfam family: Bacterial small subunit ribosomal RNA
Source: RNAcentral
AUUGAACGCUGGCGGCAGGCCUAACACAUGCAAGUCGAGCGGAGCGGUGGACGGGUGAGUAAUGCCUAGGAAUCUGCCUGGUAGUGGGGGAUAACGUCCGGAAACGGGCGCUAAUAUCGCAUACUAUCAGAUGAGCCUAGGUCGGAUUAGCUAGUUGGUGGGGUAAAGGCCUACCAAGGCGACGAUCCCUAGCUGGUCUGAGAGGAUGAUCAGCCACACUGGAACUGAGACACGGUCCAGACUCCUACGGGAGGCAGCAGUGGGGAAUAUUGCACAAUGGGCGAAAGCCUGAUGCAGCCAUGCCGCGUGUGUGAAGAAGGUCCUAGGGUUGUAAAGCACUUUAAGUUGGGAGGCGUUACCGACAGAAGAAGCACCGGCUAACUCCGUGCCAGCAGCCGCGGUAAUAC